CAGCAGCCGCGGUAAUACAGAGGGUGCGAGCGUUAAUCGGAUUUACUGGGCGUAAAGCGUGCGUAGGCGGCUUUUUAAGUCGGAUGUGAAAUCCCUGAGCUUAACUUAGGAAUUGCAUUCGAUACUGGGAAGCUAGAGUAUGGGAGAGGAUAAUAGAAUUCCAGGUGUAGCGGUGAAAUGCGUAGAGAUCUGGAGGAAUACCGAUGGCGAAGGCAGCCAUCUGGCCUAAUACUGACGCUGAGGUACGAAAGCAUGGGGAGCAAACAGGAUUAGAUACCCGUGUAGUCCCUGUCUCUUAUAC
Molecule: ribosomal RNA, 301 nt
Filed under: uncultured bacterium
Lineage: Bacteria
Description: partial 16S ribosomal RNA
Rfam family: Bacterial small subunit ribosomal RNA
Source: RNAcentral